CUACGGGCGGCUCCAGUGAGGAAUAUUGCACAAUGGGGGGAACCCUGAUGCAGCAACGCCGCGUGGAGGAUGACGCAUUUCGGUGUGUAAACUCCUUUUAUAUGUCAAGAAAAUGACGGUAGCAUAUGAAUAAGCACCGGCUAACUCCGUGCCAGCAGCCGCGGUAAUACGGAGGGUGCAAGCAUUACUCGGAAUCACUGGGCGUAAAGGACGCGUAGGCGGGUUGGAAAGUCAGGUGUGAAAUCCUACAGCUUAACUGUAGAACUGCACUUGAAACUGUUAAUCUAGAGUAUGGGAGGGGGAGAUGGAAUUAGUGGUGUAGGGGUAAAAUCCGUAGAUAUCACUAGGAAUACCGAAAGCGAAGGCGAUCUCCUGGAACAUUACUGACGCUAAGGCGUGAAAGCGUGGGGAGCAAACAGGAUUAGAUACCCGCGUAGUC
RNAcentral lists this ribosomal RNA (439 nucleotides) under uncultured bacterium. RNAcentral describes it as "partial 16S ribosomal RNA". It matches the Rfam family "Bacterial small subunit ribosomal RNA", at positions 339 to 795 of the family's 1533-position model. The record is from RNAcentral.